Homo sapiens (human) is the source of this 1902-nucleotide long non-coding RNA. The record is from Ensembl. NCBI's taxonomy places the organism in Eukaryota, Metazoa, Chordata, Mammalia, Primates, Hominidae.
GGGCUUUGUGUUACUGGAAUCGUCGGAGGUGAAGUGUGAGCGGAGCUGAGUGGAAGGAUUCUCAGGAUGAUGGAGUGAGUGAUGGAAUAGGUUGCCAACUGUAGUUACUCCACUCAGCACAGAAUGGCUGCGGGGAAAUAUAAUCAGACAUGCCCAAAGAAGUCUGCUUAGGGUGAAACAAAUACCUUUGAGGUUUAAAUCAGAAAGGAAGGAGAGACUGUUUCUACAGGUGUCAUACAAAAAUCAAUACUGAGCCAAGGAUUAUUGGAUCCCAUAGAACCACGGAGACUUGGUAGUGAAAUUCUUCCAAAGGCAGAUGGUGUUCCUAGGUUUGGAAAUAUAAAUCCCAUGGGAAGUCAGCUGAAGACCAUUUUAUGCAUCACUCAUCCUGUUAGAGCCCUGUGCUGUUCUGUCUCUCUAUAAGACUGGCUGAAACCACCACGGUUGUUUACAAUUUAUGCUCUAACUUUGGAUCACCUAGUUAAUACUCUAACUCCGAUUAUUACCAAAGACAAUGUUCUAUAAAAGAUAUUGUCUAUUAGAAGGAUGCUUCUGCAUUAUUAAUAAAAUCACAGGGAAAAUGCAACAUUUUGGAUGUCACAUCUGAUAAGUUGGCAGUUAAAGAACAGAAACAGCAAUAAGACUGCGUGGCUACAUUUUCCCAGUGCCACCAACUGGGAUUUAAGCUGACUAACAUUUUGAAAGCCCAGCCCAUUUCAUUCACAGCAGGAUGGCAGUGGGUGACUGAUCGUACCCGCCAGCUGGCUAAUGUCAUAAUUAACAAAGUUGCUACUACAUCUGCAAAGUUUAAUCGAAAAAUUUGCCAGUGAUAUGAUGGCCUUGUCACAGAGAUCACAAGGGACACGGAGUUGACUUUUGCUCAAGGUGGAACGACAGAGCUGUGUAGGCAAGAUGAGAAAUUGCGAACUUGUUCGGCCAAAGGAACGACUAUGCUCUGGAGAGUCCUGUAAUUUGCAGAAAAUGGACCAAGAUAACAUUUGAGUUCCAUGCUACCAAAAUCCUCUUGAGAAGGACAGCUAGCUACCCAGAAUAUUUAACAUUGUGACAUUGAAAUGUUGGAUGAACGAUUAAAAUGAAGAAUCUAGUCAUAGGUUGUAAGAAAUCGCUAAAUUAUUAUGUUUAAUCCAAAGAAGAGAAAGGAAAAGCUGUUUUCAUUCCCCCCAGCCUCUGAGGUGCUAAUAAUGAAGGGGCCGGGAAGGAGGCCAGUGCUACCAGGGUUAUCUCACAACCUCAGAUGCUGGAUAAGUCGACGGAGGCAGAAUCGCUUUGGGAUGACAUUCAGAAAGCCUGGAGUGAUUACUUGCAAGAGAAAAGCCUACCUAUUCUUUCCAAGGUGCAGGAAUAUUCCCCUGACCUGCUCAUCCAGUGGUCCAGUAAUGAAUUACUGGAGACCUGCCUUAGACAAAGAAUGCACUCGGAGCCCCAACACACCUAAAGCCAUGCUUUGAAGGAUCUGCCAAGCUCACUUUUAAUCAUGAGAAAGAAAUUACCCACACGGAGUCAGCAGAAAAUGAGAAAGUAGAGCUCGUGCUGUGAAUAAUUCCAGCAAGUGCCAAGGGGCUAGUUGAGGAAUGGCUUCAUGAGAUGUUAGUCUAAAACAGCACCUUGGAUCUAAGCAGCACCUUUGAGAAAGAAAAGACUGCUUCAAGAAUGUCUAGUUGCACCUCCUUUCCGUAUGUGGCCUAAAUGCCUAGGUUGGAUCAAUAGUUUAAUUUUUUUAUUGAACUGUUUAAUAUUGACUAUGGACUUACAUUCACUUUUACUGUUUUCUGUAUAUUUACUUUUGCUUGAAGUGUUUUAAUAUUGACUAUUUACCUCUGCUCAUUUUUAUUGAUUUUCUGUAUUUUUUCAAUGAAAAUUAUAAUAAAAAUUAUUUUUGUU